UACGAAGGGGGCUAGCGUUGCUCGGAAUCACUGGGCGUAAAGCGCACGUAGGCGGCUUUUUAAGUCAGGGGUGAAAUCCUGGAGCUCAACUCCAGAACUGCCUUUGAUACUGAGAAGCUGGAGUCCGGGAGAGGUGAGUGGAACUGCGAGUGUAGAGGUGAAAUUCGUAGAUAUUCGCAAGAACACCAGUGGCGAAGGCGGCUCUCUGGGACGGUACUGACGCUGAGACGCGAAAGCGUGGGGAGCGAACAGG
This 253-nucleotide ribosomal RNA is filed under the name uncultured bacterium. Its description in RNAcentral is "partial 16S ribosomal RNA". It matches the Rfam family "Bacterial small subunit ribosomal RNA", at positions 524 to 776 of the family's 1533-position model. The record is from RNAcentral.